AACGAACGCUGGCGGCAUGCCUAACACAUGCAAGUCGAACGAGACCUUCGGGUCUAGUGGCGCACGGGUGCGUAACGCGUGGGAACCUACCCUUAGGUUCGGAAUAACUCCCCGAAAGGGGUGCUAAUACCGGAUAAUUUCUUCGGACCAAAGAUUUAUCGCCUUUGGAUGGGCCCGCGUUGGAUUAGCUAGUUGGUAGGGUAAAAGCCUACCAAGGCGACGAUCCAUAGCUGGUCUGAGAGGAUGAUCAGCCACACUGGGACUGAGACACGGCCCAGACUCCUACGGGAGGCAGCAGUGGGGAAUAUUGGACAAUGGGCGAAAGCCUGAUCCAGCAAUGCCGCGUGAGUGAUGAAGGCCUUAGGGUUGUAAAGCUCUUUUACCCGGGAUGAUAAUGACAGUACCGGGAGAAUAAGCUCCGGCUAACUCCGUG
Molecule: ribosomal RNA, 433 nt
Filed under: uncultured bacterium
Lineage: Bacteria
Description: partial 16S ribosomal RNA
Rfam family: Bacterial small subunit ribosomal RNA
Source: RNAcentral